ACAAGAGCCGGAGGUGAGGGGGCCGUUUCCGGUCCCUGACUGGGCUUUUUGUAUUCUGCGACUGUGAGAGUGGUGGAUCAUCUCCUGGAGUAUUGCCCAUCUUCGCAUCUUCCUCUGUCGUCCUGUGUCCUGCUUGUCCUGGGAAUCCGUGGGGAGGACGUCGGGACGCCCGGAAGCCGGGAGAUGGGGCUGUUGACUUUCAAGGAUGUGGCUGUAGAAUUCUCUCCAGAGGAGUGGGAAUUCCUGGACCCAACUCAUCUGAUAUUAUACCAUAACGUUAUGUUAGAUAACCACAGAAACUUGGUUCUUCUAGGACUCGCUGUCUCUAAGCCAGACCUGAUCAAGUGUCUGGAGCAAAGGAAAGAGCACUGGGAUAUGAAGAGAAACAGCAUGCUAGUCAAACCUCCAGGUUGGGGUGAGUGAAUGAAGUUGAUGACAGAGGUCAAGAUGUCCACAAAGGGACAUCUGUUAUUCCAUGUUCUGAAAUUCUCCAAAAGCUCUGCUGCUUCUUCAGUGAUCUCCUUUCAAGGUUACAGAGAAAAUCAGUCCACUUAAUGGUUUGUUAGGAAGUGCAUGAUCUGACUACCUUUCUGAUGCUUUUGGAGACGUGCAAAUAUCUGCUUAUUUAUUUAGAAAAUCUAUGUCAAAGUAUUUUUUAAGUUUUCUUUUCACAUCAUGUUGGAAAUAAGUGAGAGAAGUGGUUUUGAUAUUUGAGAAAUUUUAAGAACUAAAGACAGAUGUCAUAUGCUUUCAACUUAAUGAGAUUCUAUCCUAGGGAAGUUUCCAAUGUGAUUUUGUAUAACUUCAUACUCCAUAAUUCUACCAGAACACCAUUAAUCUCUCUUGAUAGAAGAUAUAUUGUUAAUUUAUUUUUCUUUUUUCUGUUUUUAAUGUACUGAGAUAGGUAAUUUAUUUCUAUAU
This is a long non-coding RNA of Carlito syrichta (Philippine tarsier), 921 nucleotides long. RefSeq lists it as uncharacterized. The record is from RefSeq and is a predicted model, not a curated record. NCBI's taxonomy places the organism in Eukaryota, Metazoa, Chordata, Mammalia, Primates, Tarsiidae. The transcript has 3 exons.